Molecule: ribosomal RNA, 445 nt
Filed under: uncultured bacterium
Lineage: Bacteria
Description: bacterial SSU rRNA
Rfam family: Bacterial small subunit ribosomal RNA
Source: RNAcentral
CCAGACUCCUACGGGAGGCAGCAGUGGGGAAUAUUGCACAAUGGGGGAAACCCUGAUGCAGCGACGCCGCGUGAGUGAAGAAGUAAUUCGUUACGUAAAGCUCUAUCAGCAGGGAAGAUAAUGACGGUACCUGAGUAAGAAGCCCCGGCUGACUACGUGCCAGCAGCCGCGGUAAUACGUAGGGGGCAAGCGUUAUCCGGAUUUACUGGGUGUAAAGGGAGCGUAGACGGCAUGGCAAGUCUGAAGUGAAAGCCCGGGGCUCAACCGCGGGACUGCUUUGGAAACUGUUAAGCUGGAGUGCAGGAGAGGUAAGUGGAAUUCCUAGUGUAGCGGUGAAAUGCGUAGAUAUUAGGAGGAUCACCAGUGGCGAAGGCGGCUUACUGGACUGUAACUGACGUUGAGGCUCGAAAGCGUGGGGAGCAAACAGGAUUAGAUACCCGAGUAC